RNAcentral lists this small nucleolar RNA (49 nucleotides) under Pyrobaculum calidifontis JCM 11548. RNAcentral's name for it is "PCAsR118". The record is from RNAcentral. Lineage: Archaea; Thermoproteati; Thermoproteota; Thermoprotei; Thermoproteales; Thermoproteaceae.
AUGAUUAAGGCCUCGCAGCGCUGACCGGUGACGAGGAACUGGGUUAUGA